CUUCCGUAGGUGAACCUGCGGAAGGAUCAUUACCGAGUGAGGGCCCUCUGGGUCCAACCUCCCACCCGUGUUUAUUUUACCUUGUUGCUUCGGCGGGCCCGCCUUAACUGGCCGCCGGGGGGCUUACGCCCCCGGGCCCGCGCCCGCCGAAGACACCCUCGAACUCUGUCUGAAGAUUGUAGUCUGAGUGAAAAUAUAAAUUAUUUAAAACUUUCAACAACGGAUCUCUUGGUUCCGGCAUCGAUGAAGAACGCAGCGAAAUGCGAUACGUAAUGUGAAUUGCAAAUUCAGUGAAUCAUCGAGUCUUUGAACGCACAUUGCGCCCCCUGGUAUUCCGGGGGGCAUGCCUGUCCGAGCGUCAUUUCUGCCCUCAAGCACGGCUUGUGUGUUGGGCCCCGUCCUCCGAUCCCGGGGGACGGGCCCGAAAGGCAGCGGCGGCACCGCGUCCGGUCCUCGAGCGUAUGGGGCUUUGUCACCCGCUCUGUAGGCCCGGCCGGCGCUUGCCGAUCAACCCAAAUUUUUAUCCAGGUGACCUCGGAUCAGGUAGGU
Molecule: small RNA, 549 nt
Filed under: Penicillium sp. 0911MAR15O1
Lineage: Eukaryota; Fungi; Ascomycota; Eurotiomycetes; Eurotiales; Aspergillaceae
Description: eukaryotic LSU rRNA
Rfam family: 5.8S ribosomal RNA (bases 209-361)
Source: RNAcentral